This 286-nucleotide ribosomal RNA is filed under the name uncultured bacterium. Its description in RNAcentral is "partial 16S ribosomal RNA". It matches the Rfam family "Bacterial small subunit ribosomal RNA", at positions 29 to 342 of the family's 1533-position model. The record is from RNAcentral.
AGCGAACGCUGGCGGCAGGCCUAACACAUGCAAGUCGAGCGGACACCGCAAGGUGUCAGCGGCAGACGGGAGAGUAACACGUGGGAACGUGCCCUUCGGUUCGGAAUAACUCGGGGAAACUCGAGCUAAUACCGAAUACGCCUUACGGGGAAGAUUUAUCGCCGAUGGAGCGGCCCGCGUCUGAUUAGCUAGUUGGUGAGGUAACGGCUCACCAAGGCUACGAUCAGUAGCUGGUCNGAGAGGAUGAUCAGCCUCACUGGGACUGAGACACGGCCCAGACUCCUAC